Molecule: long non-coding RNA, 1718 nt
Organism: Hemicordylus capensis (graceful crag lizard)
Lineage: Eukaryota; Metazoa; Chordata; Lepidosauria; Squamata; Cordylidae
Exons: 3
Source: RefSeq, a predicted model, not a curated record
GGUCUUCUUGCUUCAAGGUGGCUCCUAGGCAGCUGGGCGGCUUGGGUUCUUGGAGAGGAAGGGGAGGAGAGCUGGUAGCAAGCCUGAAUGGUCCCCUUUGCUAAGCAGGAUCCAUCCUGGUUUACAUCUGAAGGGGAGACUACAUCAUGUGAGCCCUCUUCAAGGGUGUCUGGUGCCAUGGAUACAAAGAGCCAAGCUGACCAAGGAAAGAAGCUACUAGCCAGAGCAGCGAGGGACUGUGGGAGUGACGGAGGAACAGCAGCAUCCCGCUGAGAAUGCAAAGCAUUGACGACCUUCCUGUAUUCCUCGGUAACCGCUGGAAAAGUUAUAUCUGGGAAAUAGCUACAGCGAGAAAGAAGGUAAGCAGCUGCUUCUUCUUCUUCUUCUUCUUCUUCUUCUUCUUCUUCUUCUUCUUCUUCUUCUUCUUCUUCUUCUUCUUCAACUCCUCCUCCUCCUCCUCUUCCUCCUCCUCCAUAAGCUUAUAUACAGCCUUGGGUUUAUUCCCUCUUUUUGACAGUUAAAGCACCACAUUUUCAUUGAUGCCAGGAGAUGUUGAACAGUAGCGCUCACAUCCUGGGGUGCCUCUGUUAUGGCACAAGAGAUAUUCCCAGACUGAUUGGGCAAGGUUCGGACCACAAUGUGUGUCUGGACAUUUAAAUUUGCAUUCUGAUUGGGCAAGACCUCUAGGGUUUUUAAAUUCUGUCUUGAUUGAAUUGGGCAAGAUCUCUAGGAUUUUUAAAUUGUAUAUGGAAUUGGGCAAGAUCAAGGCCUGUGUGGGCCUCGAUUUUUAAAUUGCAUCCCCCAGCUUGACAUUGACAUUUGUAUUCUGAUUGGGCAAGACCUCUAGGGUUUUUAAAUUCUGUAAGGAAUUGGGCAAGAUCAGGGCCUGUGUGGGCCUCGAUUUUUAAAUUGCAUCCCCCAGCUUGACCGAGCACACAAUCUCUAGGUUCCCUUAGAGUGAAUUGGGCAUGAUACCAUUUUUUUUUAAAAAAAUACCAUUGUCUGGGCAGCUUUAGGCCAGUGGACUGGAGUCCCAUGAGCUUGGAAUCUCCAAUGGCUCAACUGGGCAAGACGAUUGGUGUCUUUAAAUUCUGUCAGGGCCUUGUGGACAUAUUUUUUUAGCCAGGGGUGUAGUGUUAAAUUUGGAUCGACUGACCACCCACUUUGAUUCAUGCUCUUGAUCAAGACUGAAUCAAAUGCAUCACGUUGCGUGUUUUAUAUGCGCUGUGUCCCAAGUGUUUGGUGACCCAUGAAGAGAUGACUUCUUGUUUAGUGCACUCAUGGCCAUCUCGGAUCCUUAUUCCUUACCUAAGGAAAAAAGCAUUGAUUUUGAAUGCUGGGCUCAAGGUUUUGAUGUUUUUCAUGUCUAUUGAUAAAAUGGUAGAAAUCAUUUCACAUGCAAAUGUUUAAAUUGAUUAUGUCAUGCAAGGGUUUUGAGAACUGUCUUGACUAAAGAAAUAGUCUGAUUGCCUUGUCAGCAAGAAAGGUUCUUGCAGCCUAGGUGCAAAUCCUGCUAUCUUGCACAGACACAACAAACCUUGUGGAAGGUUGUGUCUUUGUUGAAGAUGAUGUUUAGCAGUAUAGCAUUCAAGACUCUUCAGACAUGGAUUGCGUGAACGCCCGGCCUGAGAAAUUGACACCAGAGUGAAUGGAGGCGAAUGCACCUGCUUAAGGAGAGGAAGGCAGAUCACCAAAGGCGGCGGGAGUCCUGUGGUGAG